CCUACGGGAGGCAGCAGUGGGGAAUAUUGCACAAUGGGGGAAACCCUGAUGCAGCGACGCCGCGUGAGUGAAGAAGUACUUCGGUAUGUAAAGCUCUAUCAGCAGGGAAGAAAAUGACGGUACCUGACUAAGACGCCCCGGCUAACUCCGUGCCAGCAGCCGCGGUAAUACGUAGGGGGCAAGCGUUAUCCGGAUUUACUGGGUGUAAAGGGAGCAUAGACGGCAGGGCAGGUCGGGGGUGAAGCCCGGGGCUUAACCCCGGAACUGCUUUGGAAACUGUGAGGCUGGAGUGCAGGAGGGGUAAGCGGAAUUCCUAGUGUAGCGGUGAAAUGCGUAGAGAUUAGGAGGAACACCGGUGGCGAAGGCGGCUUACUGGACUGUAACUGACGUUGAGGCUCGAAAGCGUGGGGAGCAAACAGGAUUAGAUACCCGUGUAGUC
This 439-nucleotide ribosomal RNA is filed under the name uncultured bacterium. RNAcentral describes it as "partial 16S ribosomal RNA". It matches the Rfam family "Bacterial small subunit ribosomal RNA", at positions 338 to 795 of the family's 1533-position model. The record is from RNAcentral.